AGGCUGGACCCAGCCAGCCUCAAGGAGGGAAGAGAGGGACAUCAUGGUGGCGCUGGACUCCCUGCAGGGGCUCUGCAGAGGCAGAAGAUGAACAGUAAGAUGCAAAGAUCUGGCAACCUUCAGAGCUGGCAUCUCACAGAGAAGAUACUUGGAUGGGCCACAGGCCAAAACUGGGCCAAAACCCUGGAGAGGGGGACCUGGCUCAAGGCCACACCACAUUUCCAUGUCAUUUUCCAGUGGCACCAACUGAGCUGGACAGAUGUUCUCACAGAGCUACACAUGCCACAGUCAUCACUAGUUGCGAGAGUCUCCAGUGUUCAUUAAGCCUAUUUUGCUGGAAGUUUAGUCCCUGGAGGAUUAGUCCCUGCCCUUAAGGAGUGCCAAAGAAGACUUUGGAAUCUAAGUCACAUCUCCCCUGCUGCAAUUUUUUCCUCUUGAUAAUCAAGGAAUCUCACUGAUAAAACUCUCAAUGAGGAGCAGCUCUCCCCAUGAGCAAGUUCUUGCCUUCAUUGCCAGGGAGGCCCCAGCUAAGGUUAUACUGGGAAAGGAAUCUCUGGGGAGUACCUGGAAGAGGUCAGCUUCUCCUCAAAGGAAGCCUCUCCAGCUGGUGUACUGCAAAGCCUUCCAAGACCAAGUUCCCUCUUCCUGGCCUCUGGAACCAGCCUGUGUGCCAGCGCUGUGUCCCCAGUAACACACAUGAGUCUCUCCCUCAGAAGCCACAGAAGGAUGCAGAGAGAGACCAACCCAGGAUUGAUUCUCAGCACUUACUAAUUGUGUGGACAUAACUGCUCUGGACCUCAGCUUUGCUAUCUAUAAAAUGAGCACCCUUUUUAUAGAUAUGAACACUUUAAGAGAGUCAUAAAGAUUGAAGUUGAUUUGUGCUGCGCCUGGCACAGAGGUCUCCCUCAGUAAAUGGCAGCCACUGCUAUUGGGGUGCCCCAACACCCCUUGCCCCUGCCCACCAUUAGCUUUCACUUAGGCCCACACUGAGGGUGUGGCUGUUGUGUUGGGGGAAGGAAAAAAACCAUGCCUGGGUUGCAGGGCCCCCACCACCAACUGGUCUGCUUUUGUGGGAAGCAUUUUCUGAUGCCCUCGCCCUACCCGUGGGCUGGUUGACUAAGUGUCCAGCAUCAUGAGGAAAAGAGCAGGGUUCAGGGACAGCUUGGCUCAGCCCUGAAACUCAUCUGGGCCUAGGUCCAGAUGAGAGGCAAGCCUGGGAGGCCUUCCGUUGUACCCUUGCCUAUCCUGCAGCACCCUCUAGCCUGCAGGCCGCUCCUGGGUGGCAUAGCACCUUGGAUGUCAGGUGUGGGCCUUCCCAGGCACAUGGCAUGAGGGGGCACUUCUGUGGGUUGUUGGGGGCAGGAAGGGAUGUGUCUCCAGCUGGACUUGGGCUCUCGCAUUUUGGGGCCCAGCCAUGCCAGGACAGCACACAUGGGCGCUUAGUGCGAAUCUCAUGAUGGAGCAGAGGAGGAGCAAAGCAAAACCAGGGAGUCCCCAGGCCCCUGCUUCUGCCCCGCCCAGAGACAGUGGAGCAGGUGUCUCCAGCUUCUUAACCUCAACGCACAGUAAGAAAUACAUUUUACAGCAACCAAUAGACACAUACAUUUACAAAACGA
This 1616-nucleotide long non-coding RNA is filed under the name Homo sapiens (human). RNAcentral describes it as "long independently transcribed non-coding RNA 2874 (LINC02874)". Lineage: Eukaryota; Metazoa; Chordata; Mammalia; Primates; Hominidae. The record is from RNAcentral.